UUGGCAAAAUUACUUUAUCAUCAAUAACAAUAAAAUAAUUAUAUACAUUCAUUGACAUACAUUCCCUUAAACAUGUGAAUAAUUAUAAGAAUGUCACAUCUUAUCAAAUAUUAAUCAAACAAGAUGAAGAGAGAUUCAAUAUCGGUUUACACUAUAAAUAUAACACAACCUGACUUUUAAUACCAAUUAUUGGAAAAAAAAAUCCAAUUUGAAAAUGGUUUUCUUACACAGCAGCAAAUUAAAAUUUUGAAAACCGGCACGGUUUGUGAUAUUUAUAACAAUAAACCUUAGACCGAAAUUGUACCUAUGUUUUCGAAUAAGUGAAUCCUUGAUUUUUUUGGCUUUCAACCAAACGAUCUUCUUCGCUAUUCUCGUAUCACGAACUGCUUCGAGUGUGGGCUCGAACCAAUUGAACCAAACGAUCUUUUUCUUAUGGGGUUAAAAUGAAAAUUCUCUCUC
This 459-nucleotide long non-coding RNA is filed under the name Gossypium barbadense (sea-island cotton). Its description in RNAcentral is "long non-coding RNA (GBAR_LNC023400)". The record is from RNAcentral. Lineage: Eukaryota; Viridiplantae; Streptophyta; Magnoliopsida; Malvales; Malvaceae.